AACACUCAUUAUUUAACAACAUAUGAAACUGUCAAAAUAAUGGGUGCUUUAAUUUUUCUGAUAAUGAGUGUUUUUUGCUCAUUUCUAAGCUCCGAGAGACUACACAUUAAUGGGUGAAAAAUUCCUUGGUCUUCCUCUAUCAAAGAUCAACCCUUCUUCGGAGAUAAAAAUUGAAUAAGUAAAAGUAACGCUAAACAGCUGCUGCUAAAUAAACUGUUACGAAUGAAUCUACGCAGUCCUGGCCACAGUAUUUUCGGAAGACGCCGAAUAGCCGUUUUUUACCAACAUCCGAAAUCUGUCAGCACUUCGCAGUUUCGGAGAUGGUGGUACAUCCUCAACAGUCAAAAGCUGGUAGUGGCUUUGUUUGGCGUUCCUAGUUCUUUGCUUUGUGCAACUAUAGGAAGCAAUUUCGCCUGUUGCAUAUGAGAACCACAAUGGGCACCGCAUCUCGCAACAUCGAGCCGUUCCGGGACAGGAGAAAGGAGAAACGGAAGUAGGAG
Long non-coding RNA from Armigeres subalbatus, 500 nucleotides. RefSeq lists it as uncharacterized. The transcript has 3 exons. NCBI's taxonomy places the organism in Eukaryota, Metazoa, Arthropoda, Insecta, Diptera, Culicidae. The record is from RefSeq and is a predicted model, not a curated record.